RNA transcript from Phyllopteryx taeniolatus (common seadragon), 2684 nucleotides. RefSeq lists it as uncharacterized. The record is from RefSeq and is a predicted model, not a curated record. The transcript is spliced from 12 exons. NCBI's taxonomy places the organism in Eukaryota, Metazoa, Chordata, Actinopteri, Syngnathiformes, Syngnathidae.
AUCUCGAGACGAAGUCAUUAACACUCCAAAAGAAGAUUACCAUCAAAUUUGGCUUUAUCGUUAUUGUAAUUUAAUGAAACACACACACACACAAUAACAUAUUAUCCAAACAUAAUCAGACUAAUGUGCUGUCAAAGGCCAUAACUUGGCUGCUCGCCAGGAAGAAGCCGUUCAUGUACAGUAGUUCAGUUCCAGUUUCUGUCAGGAGAUGGCAGUGCAGUUGUACGUGCUCUUGAAAACGUCACUAUUAAACACCCCAAAGAAGAUUAUUUAAAAGUGCCCGCAACAACUUAAGUGAUUUCUGUGAUUGUCAUAAAGGUAAAAUGAGACAACAUACAAAAUAUUAUUAUGUAUUAACUAACUAUAUUUUGACGUAAGUGUUGUAUGUGUGUAAUGCUGUAACUAAGCAAUAAAGACGCCACUAAUGUAGUUCCCACGGUGAUGGAACGUAAAGACAAACUUGGCACCCGACGUUGUCGUAACUUCUAGUUUAGCGAUAUUUGGCACACAGUUAUACAAGGUUAAACUCCACGUUUUACAUUUACAACAUGCAUUCAUCAUGGAUUUACGUCGAGAGGAAACGGGAGCUGCCACACGGGACGUUUCUGGGCUGAGGUUCAACAGUUUGACGUUAGAUGAGUUGAGUAAGGAGCUCGAGAGGUGCACAGAGGAAACCCAGAGGCUUCAGGACGAGGUGGAACAUGCAACCAGAGCCGCUUUGGAGAAGUUUGGCUAUACAUCCAAACACUUUUGUACGACUGGAAUGAAUCAGGGUCAGAGGGACGUCAGCCCCACUAUAAAGGCCCAGGAAACAGCACUCCAUCUUCGACAUUUGUCUGAUGAUGUCAUGCACCUUUGUGAGCAGCCAGUGGAACACGUAAAGCAUAGAGACCCCAGUGAAAGGCAGAAUGACAGAAUGGAAGAACUGAUUGCAAGUGUUGGCCAGGAGGUGGAGAUGUUGAACCACAAACUGAACUCGUCUCAAGACAACGGGGUUUGCAUCAGUACCAAGCUGGAACUGUUACGGACAUCGUUGCAGCAGCAGUUGAAGACUGGUGACCAGAAUUUGUGUAGGCUUCAGGAGGAGGUACAAAACCCGGGAGGAGAGAGGAAACAAGCUCGGCCGGAGGAGAACGACCACAAAACCAAACGGCAACCUUCCCGGCUGGAAGAAGCUCAGAGGCGGUACGUGACCCUUCUCGCCGAAAAAGAGACCCUGAGGCUUGAACUGGAGGACAGAGACAAGAUGAGAUGCUCGGGUGUCAGCUGGAGAAGAGCGACCAGACCAUCAACAGCCUUCACCGGGAGAACGCCCUCCUCAGCACCCAAAUGAAGCAGCUCGAGGUUGGGCACCUAGAGAGCCUAGAGAAGCAGCGACUCGCCAUCUCUGGAGUUUCAAGGUAAAAAUGUAACUCCACCUGGACUGGACUCCCUGAUCCCAUCUACUGCACUCGCUGAUCCUCGUCCCUCCACACAGGACACCCGCAACGCCCGGAUCAAGCAUCGGGGCCCCCCAUGGAUGCGUCCCUCUCUUCGCUACUCCUCUCUCUCUACACAAACGGCAAAAGGACAAACUCUGACUACAACGGGCAGACAGGACUGCCGAAAAAAAUCGUCGGUACCUCCCCAACCCACUGUUGGGGACUUGCACGCUGCCAGAACUAAGAGAAGAUCAUGCAAAAUCCUCUUGGACCCUCCACAUCCUGGUCACCACCUCUUCCAGCUCCUUCAGGAAACCAGGAAUUGGUCCCGGUAGAUAAAUCCAGCUGUACUGCACCUUUAAUGGCUGGCCUGGCACGCAUCUAUCACCUCCAGUGAAGAGGCCCUGGCUCUCCCCCACCCACGGCUCGACAACCUGGCUUGUAUAUCAGCCCCCCCCACUCCACCCCACCUCGCCUUACACGGCCUGUCUCGGGCGCCUUUGCAAGGCACCAUGACUUAAUGUGCGGUACCAGGCUCCGCUGUGGUGCGGCCCCACUGUGGGAUUUAAUGGUAGAUACUGUAAAGGAGACGGGAGCUGUGCAAAUAGACAGGAUGAAUGGUAGUAAAGCUUAUACAGUUGAACCUCAAUAGAAUGGUCUAAUAGGGGCCGGAGGGUCGUCCGAUAUAGCCGAUUGUCCGUUACAUUGAAGCACUUUUUUGAGGCCUUAUGCACCCAUAUUACUGUACAGUACAAAAUUAUUAAUUUUCUAGGAUUUUCUUCAUGGCCUAAAAUGCCCAGUACAGUACAAAGUUAUUGUAAGUAAAUAUAAAAAAAGCAUGAAAAUAUCAAACAAGACAAUGACCCUAAGCACACAGCUAAAAUAACGAAGGAGUGGCUUCAGAACAACUCUGUGACUGUUCUUGAAUGGCCCAGCCAGAGCCCUGAUUUAAACCCAAUUGAGCAUCUCUGGAAAGACCUGAAAAUGGCUGCCCACCAACGUUCACCAUCCAACCUGACAAAACUGGAGAGGAUCUGCAAGGAGGAAUGGCAGAUGAUCUCCAAAUCCAGGCAUGAAAAACUUGUUGCAUCAUUCCCAAAAAGACUCAAAAGGGUGCUUCUACUAAAUACUGAGCAAAGGGUCUGAAUACUUAUGGCUGUGUGAUAUUUCAGUUUUCUUUUGAAAUAAAUCUGCAAAAAUUUCAACAAUUCUGUUUUUUUUUUACUGUCAAUAUGGAGUGCUUUGUGUACAUUAAUGUAGAAA